This 382-nucleotide ribosomal RNA is filed under the name uncultured eukaryote. Its description in RNAcentral is "partial 18S ribosomal RNA". It matches the Rfam family "Eukaryotic small subunit ribosomal RNA", at positions 592 to 976 of the family's 1831-position model. The record is from RNAcentral.
UGUAAGCGUAUACCAAAGUUGUUGCAGUUAAAACGCUCGUAGUCGGAAUUUGGCAGUUCCGGAUGUGUGCACGUCGUGUGCGCACUUCGCGGGGAUUGCUUUUGUGGUCUUGCGUAGGAUGAGGCACUUUUAUUAGUGAACGUCCUCACGCAACCACUUUUUACUGUGAGAAAAUCAGAGUGCUCAAAGCAGGCAUUUGCCGUGAAUGUAUUAGCAUGGAAUAAUAGAAUAGGACUUGGUUCUAUUUUGUUGGUUUGUUGGGACUGAGUAAUGAUUAAGAGGGACAGUUGGGGGCAUUUGUAUUUCGGUGCUAGAGGUGAAAUUCUUAGAUUACCGAAAGACAAACUGCUGCUAAAGCGUCUGCCAAGGAUGUUUUCAUUGA